UAGGGAAUCUUCGGCAAUGGGGGCAACCCUGACCGAGCAACGCCGCGUGAGUGAAGAAGGUUUUCGGAUCGUAAAGCUCUGUUGUAAGAGAAGAACGUGUGUGAGAGUGGAAAGUUCACACAGUGACGGUAACUUACCAGAAAGGGACGGCUAACUACGNGCCAG
Molecule: ribosomal RNA, 165 nt
Filed under: uncultured bacterium
Lineage: Bacteria
Description: partial 16S rRNA
Rfam family: Bacterial small subunit ribosomal RNA
Source: RNAcentral